RNAcentral lists this ribosomal RNA (497 nucleotides) under uncultured bacterium. Its description in RNAcentral is "partial 16S ribosomal RNA". It matches the Rfam family "Bacterial small subunit ribosomal RNA", at positions 28 to 507 of the family's 1533-position model. The record is from RNAcentral.
GAUGAACGCUGGCGGCGUGCCUAAUACAUGCAAGUCGAGCGAACGGACGAGAAGCUUGCUUCUCUGAUGUUAGCGGCGGACGGGUGAGUAACACGUGGAUAACCUACCUAUAAGACUGGGAUAACUUCGGGAAACCGGAGCUAAUACCGGAUAAUAUUUUGAACCGCAUGGUUCAAAAGUGAAAGACGGUCUUGCUGUCACUUAUAGAUGGAUCCGCGCUGCAUUAGCUAGUUGGUAAGGUAACGGCUUACCAAGGCAACGAUGCAUAGCCGACCUGAGAGGGUGAUCGGCCACACUGUAACUGAGACACGGUCCAGACUCCUACGGGAGGCAGCAGUAGGGAAUCUUCCGCAAUGGGCGAAAGCCUGACGGAGCAACGCCGCGUGAGUGAUGAAGGUCUUCGGAUCGUAAAACUCUGUUAUUAGGGAAGAACAUACGUGUAAGUAACUGUGCACAUCUUGACGGUACCUAAUCAGAAAGCCACGGCUAACUACGUG